This 59-nucleotide ribosomal RNA is filed under the name Chlorella sp. IOAC1179S. RNAcentral describes it as "partial 28S ribosomal RNA". It matches the Rfam family "Eukaryotic large subunit ribosomal RNA", at positions 1 to 59 of the family's 3401-position model. The record is from RNAcentral. Lineage: Eukaryota; Viridiplantae; Chlorophyta; Trebouxiophyceae; Chlorellales; Chlorellaceae.
CGACCUGAGCUCAGGCAAGAUUACCCGCUGAACUUAAGCAUAUCAAUAAGCGGAGGAAA